UACGUAGGGGGCAAGCGUUGUCCGGAAUCAUUGGGCGUAAAGCGCGUGUAGGCGGUCUGUCGCGUCUGCUGUGAAAAUCCGGGGCUCAACCCCGGACUUGCAGUGGGUACGGGCAGACUAGAGUGUGGUAGGGGAGACUGGAAUUCCUGGUGUAGCGGUGAAAUGCGCAGAUAUCAGGAGGAACACCGAUGGCGAAGGCAGGUCUCUGGGCCACUACUGACGCUGAGAAGCGAAAGCAUGGGGAGCGAACAGG
RNAcentral lists this ribosomal RNA (253 nucleotides) under uncultured bacterium. RNAcentral's name for it is "partial 16S ribosomal RNA". It matches the Rfam family "Bacterial small subunit ribosomal RNA", at positions 524 to 776 of the family's 1533-position model. The record is from RNAcentral.